Molecule: long non-coding RNA, 354 nt
Filed under: Mytilus galloprovincialis (Mediterranean mussel)
Lineage: Eukaryota; Metazoa; Mollusca; Bivalvia; Mytilida; Mytilidae
Source: RNAcentral
GGCGUGGUUGCAGGGUGAUGGCUCUGGUAGUCUGUCGACCACAUCGCCUCUGCAUAUUUACAACGAUAUCGAAGGGUUCUGAUAAUUCUAAUGCCGAUUGGUACAUCUCAUUCAAACUGAUGAACCGUACACUGUAAAAUGUGCUCCAAAACUACAUGUUAUAUUGAGUAUUACAAAUUCAAAUCCUGAUAGAUACAAGUCACUGUCCGAUUAUGUCAUAAUCUCCAAUAAAAGUUUUAUUUUGAAACCAAAUGCCGUUAUUUAAUGAUAUUUCAUCAAUUAAAAAAGUGACAACAUAGGUGUUUCUUUUAACAUUCAAUUUAUAAAUUCUUAUUUUGACAUUUUUUUAAUUUU